CGAGUUCAAAGCCUCAAACUCACUGCCAAAACCCGAAACCCUUCUCCUCGUCGUUGCACGAAAGUCGAGCUCAUGACGUCGUUGUCGCAAAGGCUUGCCAGUCGUCGUCUCUUUGAGCUCUCUCUCUCUAUCAAAUGCUUUACAUCUAUAGCACAUGAGAUUGAAGAUGGAAUGCUUGGUAACAG
Molecule: non-coding RNA, 185 nt
Organism: Arachis ipaensis
Lineage: Eukaryota; Viridiplantae; Streptophyta; Magnoliopsida; Fabales; Fabaceae
Source: RefSeq, a predicted model, not a curated record